This 253-nucleotide ribosomal RNA is filed under the name uncultured bacterium. RNAcentral describes it as "partial 16S ribosomal RNA". It matches the Rfam family "Bacterial small subunit ribosomal RNA", at positions 524 to 776 of the family's 1533-position model. The record is from RNAcentral.
UACGUAGGUGGCAAGCGUUAUCCGGAUUUAUUGGGCGUAAAGAGAACGCAGGCGGUCUUUUAAGUCUGAUGUGAAAGCCUUCGGCUUAACCGGAGUAGUGCAUUGGAAACUGGGAGACUUGAGUGCAGAAGAGGAGAGUGGAACUCCAUGUGUAGCGGUGAAAUGCGUAGAUAUAUGGAAGAACACCAGUGGCGAAAACGGCUCUCUGGUCUGUAACUGACGCUGAGGUUCGAAAGCGUGGGUAGCAAACAGG